This 574-nucleotide ribosomal RNA is filed under the name Fusarium oxysporum. RNAcentral's name for it is "eukaryotic LSU rRNA". It matches the Rfam family "Eukaryotic large subunit ribosomal RNA", at positions 36 to 633 of the family's 3401-position model. The record is from RNAcentral. Lineage: Eukaryota; Fungi; Ascomycota; Sordariomycetes; Hypocreales; Nectriaceae.
AAGCAUAUCAAUAAGCGGAGGAAAAGAAACCAACAGGGAUUGCCCUAGUAACGGCGAGUGAAGCGGCAACAGCUCAAAUUUGAAAUCUGGCUCUCGGGCCCGAGUUGUAAUUUGUAGAGGAUACUUUUGAUGCGGUGCCUUCCGAGUUCCCUGGAACGGGACGCCAUAGAGGGUGAGAGCCCCGUCUGGUUGGAUGCCAAAUCUCUGUAAAGUUCCUUCAACGAGUCGAGUAGUUUGGGAAUGCUGCUCUAAAUGGGAGGUAUAUGUCUUCUAAAGCUAAAUACCGGCCAGAGACCGAUAGCGCACAAGUAGAGUGAUCGAAAGAUGAAAAGCACUUUGAAAAGAGAGUUAAAAAGUACGUGAAAUUGUUGAAAGGGAAGCGUUUAUGACCAGACUUGGGCUUGGUUAAUCAUCUGGGGUUCUCCCCAGUGCACUUUUCCAGUCCAGGCCAGCAUCAGUUUUCCCCGGGGGAUAAAGGCGGCGGGAAUGUGGCUCUCUUCGGGGAGUGUUAUAGCCCACCGUGUAAUACCCUGGGGGGGACUGAGGUUCGCGCAUCUGCAAGGAUGCUGGCGUA